Bos grunniens (domestic yak) is the source of this 2778-nucleotide long non-coding RNA. The record is from Ensembl. NCBI's taxonomy places the organism in Eukaryota, Metazoa, Chordata, Mammalia, Artiodactyla, Bovidae.
AUGUGUCACUUAAUACCUAAUAUCAUUGUUGUGCAAAAUGAAAAAAAAAAAAAAAGGACAGAAAAAAGCAUGUCCUCUGUGUUUCUGCUACUGAGAAAGGCCUGGUCCCUGCCUGAAGGGCUGGUCCCUUGGAGGAGAGGCUGGGUCUUCACUUUGAGGGGGAGUGGUAACCCUUGCUGGCCCUGGAGGGGCCCACACCACAGGACCUGCAUUUUUCUGAGUCUUGUGGGAGCGAGAAAGGGGGUGCCAGGUUCCCCGUGGUCACUGCUGAGAGUCAAGGUGUGCUGGUUGUCCUUCAGAAGAUGGAAGGAUUGGGGAGGGAGGGACCAGUACCUUGUGUGUGGGGGCGGGCAGGUGCAGCCCAGCAGCAGUGAUCGACCGGAGGGAAGGCAGGAGAUUCCGACUGGGGCUUGCGGGUCCUCACGCCCAUGCCCCCUGGACUCCCGCUUAGGGGGCAGAAAUGAGGAGUCCUUGGGGGCAGGGGGUGGAGGUAGGUUUGGGGGGAAAGAGUUCAUCUCCCAGGAGAGUUAAGCCCAUUAUUCCACAUAUAGCACAGAGUCAGAGUGGACACAGAUCUGCCCAUUUUAGGUCAGAAACUCUAGGACGCAAAGGACAGCCACAAAGUGUCCACUUAACUGGAGGGUCCCUCAGCUCGCAUCCUUUGACAAAGACUGUUGUUGUUGCUGUUUAGUUGCUAAGUCGUGUACGACUCUUCGCGAUCCCAUGAACCAUAGCCCACCAGGCUCCUCUGUCCUUGGGAUUCUCCAGGCAAGAAUACUGGAGUGGGUGCCAUUUCCUUCUCCAGGGGAUCUUUCUGACUCAGGGAUCGAACCCAUGUCUCUAGCAUCCCAGGUAGAUUCUUUGUAGCUGAGCCACCGGGGAAGCCCGUGAAAGAGAUUCAGUUCAGUUCAGUCACUCAGCUGUGUCCGACUCUUUGUGACCCCAUGGACUGCAGCACGCCAGGCCUCCCUGUCCAUCGCCAACUCCCAUAGUUUACUCAAGCUCAUGUCCAUUGAGUCGGUGAUGCCAUCCAACCAUCUCAUCCUCUGUUGUCCCCUUCUCUUCCCGCCUUCAAUCUUUCCCAGCAUCAAGGUAUUUUCCAGUGAGUCAGUUCUUCACAUCAGGUGGCCAAAGUAUUGGAAUUUCAGCUUCAGCAUCAAUCCUUCCAAUGAACACCCAGGACCAAUCUCCUUUAGAAUGGACUGGUUGGAUCUCCUUGCAGUCCAAGGGACUCUUAAGAGUCUUCUCCAACACCACAGUUCAAAAGCAUCAAUUCUUCGGUGCUCAUGUUUCUUCACAGUCCACCUCUCACAUCCAUACAUGACCACUGGAAAAACCGAAAGAGAUUAUGGAACUGCAAAUGCACCAUCCAUCCACCAGCGCCAGGAUCCUCAUUCAUGGGAAGAGAGUUGAACUUGAAACCUGUGAGAAGCCUGAAAGUUUCCCUUUACAUUUUCAUAUCCUCUGCCCCUCGGACAGGGCCUGGCGCUCAGCAGUGGCUGUUAAGGUGGACGGACUGACGGCUGGAUAGGUGAACCGCACACACGGGGUUCACAGGAGCAGAAAAUGCUACCAGAGCCAGCUCAAGGCCAGGGUACUGCACGUGGGUCACCAACAGAGGGCUCUCUAAGCCUUAAGAGCAAGGCCAGGGGCCAGGACCAGAAAGCCUGUUUUGCGCAGGGGUGAUGGAACUUGGGCUCCCUGCAGACCAGAGGAGGAGAUGGCGUGUUCAAACAGGAGCUGGGAGGCAGGCACUGAACCCCAAUGUCCACGCACUGGGGGCAGGGAGGAGACAGAGGCGUCCCAUGCCUGGGCACUUCCUCAACCUUUGAAAAGGAAACCAACCCCCUGGGUCCAGGGUGGGGUCCGUGACAGGUUUGUUGGGCAGUUCUGCACAAGGCCCAGCACAGGGAAGGUACACAGUCAGCAUGUCCCGAAUGGAAUGAAUGAAUGAAGGAGGCCAGGAGGACGAGAUCAUAACUGGACUGUGGGGAGCGAGCUCCGCCUGUGGCAAAGGUCAUGAGGAAGGAGGCUCAGCAUACGCAAAGGCGGGAUCAAGCCUCAGGAGUCUCCCUGGAAAUUCUCGAGCAUCUACCCCCAAAACCAGAGUCUGCCUACUUUCUGCUUUGUGCUCUCACCUACACCUCUGACUUUACGGGGGGCUGUCCCCCACUACCUCUCUCUGAAAAAAAAGAGUUAACUUACAGCUCCAGUUAAUAAUUCCUGGGUGUGACAGUGUUUCAACCUACAAACUCCUUUGGAAGUCCUCUAGCCUGCCUGAAUAGGUUUUUCCGGCCACAUGUGAUUGCUCAGAGCCUCCCAACUGUGAGAGGCAUGAGAUGUUCUAAACUGUCUAAAUACAGAGUCCUUUGAGCAGUUAAAAGAUUGAUUAGAAAUUGUAUUGGUGAAGGGUUUUUCGCUUAUUGGGCCAAUGUUUGCUGCUAAGUCUCCAUAUCCCUUACCUGCUGUGUCCCUGGCAGUGUAUUGAUUAAUAUAAUUGGUGUAAGUAGUAGCUUUAAUGUUUGCAACCUGGGACCCUUGAGUUAAUUCUUUUUCCUGUUAUAGCUCACCACACCUUUGCUCUGUAGGAAUGCAACUUUAUCUAAUGCUUUUGAAGGUGGCGCUUGACUAAUCACCUUUAGAGAAAAAUAAGUUUUCUGAAGAAAGGAUCUUAAAAUGUUAACAGGCCUCUGGGCCAGAAGAUGAUGCAAAUCACCUAAACUUUUGCAUAUGAUAAGUUUGCAGGAAGAAAGCCUGGCUUACUGUAUGACUCUACCC